AUACCAAACUGUUGCCUCGGCGGGGUCACGCCCCGGGUGCGUCGCAGCCCCGGAACCAGGCGCCCGCCGGAGGGACCAACCAAACUCUUUUCUGUAGUCCCCUCGCGGACGUUAUUUCUUACAGCUCUGAGCAAAAAUUCAAAAUGAAUCAAAACUUUCAACAACGGAUCUCUUGGUUCUGGCAUCGAUGAAGAACGCAGCGAAAUGCGAUAAGUAAUGUGAAUUGCAGAAUUCAGUGAAUCAUCGAAUCUUUGAACGCACAUUGCGCCCGCCAGUAUUCUGGCGGGCAUGCCUGUCCGAGCGUCAUUUCAACCCUCGAACCCCUCCGGGGGGUCGGCGUUGGGGACCUCGGGAGCCCCUAAGACGGGAUCCCGGCCCCGAAAUACAGUGGCGGUCUCGCCGCAGCCUCUCCUGCGCAGUAGUUUGCACAACUCGCACCGGGAGCGCGGCGCGUCCACGUCCGUAAAACACCCAACUUUCUGAAAUGUUGACCUCGGAUCAGGUAGGAAUACCCGCUGAACUUAAGCAUAUCAUAGCCGG
RNAcentral lists this ribosomal RNA (540 nucleotides) under Trichoderma sp. GIBH-Mf082. RNAcentral describes it as "eukaryotic LSU rRNA". The stretch from base 153 to 306 matches the Rfam family "5.8S ribosomal RNA". The record is from RNAcentral. Lineage: Eukaryota; Fungi; Ascomycota; Sordariomycetes; Hypocreales; Hypocreaceae.